UGAGCCCCCGCCCCGCCAGGAGAAUGUUCGAUGCGGGCAGAAAUGGCCGUGUGUUGGGCACCCCGACCGGUUUUACUCAUACCCUCCCCACCCAUGGGCCCGGCUCAGCUACCCCUCUAGGCUCUGGCUCGAGUCCCAAGUGUGAGUACGUCACACCCGGCACCACCCCGGCUACUAGCGGUUCAAGAGCGGUCCUAUACCUCAAGUCCAAGCAGUGGCCCAAGUAGUGAGCUCCGGUCCACAAUUUAAUCGUCGCCGCAGCGAUUCGAACUUGGGACCUUAAGGUUAGAAUUUCUGCCCAGUA
RNAcentral lists this long non-coding RNA (304 nucleotides) under Phoenix dactylifera (date palm). RNAcentral's name for it is "long non-coding RNA (PDAC_LNC003861)". Lineage: Eukaryota; Viridiplantae; Streptophyta; Magnoliopsida; Arecales; Arecaceae. The record is from RNAcentral.